Ctenopharyngodon idella (grass carp) is the source of this 7334-nucleotide long non-coding RNA. RefSeq lists it as uncharacterized. The record is from RefSeq and is a predicted model, not a curated record. The transcript is spliced from 5 exons. Lineage: Eukaryota; Metazoa; Chordata; Actinopteri; Cypriniformes; Xenocyprididae.
UUGCACCUUGGUACCUGAAGCAACUUGAAAGAUAAUGGUGGUGUUAUUCUUCAUAUAUAUGAGGCUAAAGUGUUAUGAGUCUUAAGAAAAAUGUUUUAGACCAAGCCUCAUCCUCACCUGUUCAAAUGGUUUUGACUGGAAUGGUUUUUAAACCAGUUUAGUUUAUUUAAGUCUUUUCUAACUCACUCAUUUGUUUAUCAGAGCAGGAGCCACUUUAUUGCUGCACACUAAGAUCAUCAAUAAUUUCUCCUGUUUCUGGGUUAUAGUUAUUUAAAAAUGGGAUCUUCUGCAGUCCCUGCAAUAAUAAAUAAAGAAUAUGUGAAUUCAGGAUGAUAUUUAUUUGUGUGUGCAAAUUUUAAUUAUCAGAUGUUUACUGUGUAUAUAAUGUACUUGGUACAUCAGUCUAUAUUUGAUAUCACAUCAGUUUUCUAAUGUUAAAUAAUGUUAAAAGGUGUUUUAACUCCCUCUUGUGGUCAUUGUCCUGAAGCUCAGGGGGGAGAAAAAUAAAUAAACUGUACCGUGUGUGCAGUUUUGUAAAACUGCGCACAGUUUACCAAUCUGUCCACAUGGAUGUAAAUUGACAAUCUGUACCCACAGUUUAAAAUCCGUCCCCACGGAUUGUAAAACCGUGCACACAGUUUAUUUAUUUUUCUCUUCCCGGAACCUAGGGGGGGCUCCAUAGAAAAAGUCGCUUGUUUUGGGCUUGUUUUCACAGGCCUGGUUGCUUAUUUAUCUCGCAAGAUCUGGCAACGCUGAAAGCGCUGCGGUCAAUCAACGGUCUGCGUGUGCUAAAGAAGGAAACUGUUCAAGGCUCUAAGGACCUUUGAGAUAACUGAAAUCGUUUGGCGAAGUGAUAUGGAGCUGUAAUGCGGUCAAAUAAAUCCUCAAGAUGCCUGGAACUACUUGGACCUGCCUUGAACUGUAGUAUAAAGAGCCUCAAAUGCUGAACAGAGAGCAUUCGAUGCCAUCGACCGCUUAGCAGAUAGCCCAAAUAUUGUCGAAGACUCAGACGAAGACAGAUGUGUUGGGACCGGUGACGAUCUUUCGGCCUGGACGUAAUCGCAAGUGAACUCGUGGGACUGUUCAUCUUGGACCAGUGAUCGAGACGACGAGUCGACAGUAAGAGGUAGACAAACACCCUAUCCUUUUCACAACGUGUCUGAAGGAGAAGAGGAAGAACAAGAAGAAGAGCGAGGGGGUGCUCGUUGGAAUCACGAGCUCGUUAACAAAAUAGAAGCAGUCCUUGCCUCUAAUAACAGAAUAGAAGCCACCCUCGCCGCUGGUCGUAACAGACCAGCAGAGGACACGUUGUCUAUUCAGAGCAGAUUGGACGUUAUUGGUAACAGAUUGGACGUUAUUGGCGGCAGAUUGGACUCAUUGGGCGCGUGCAUCCAGGAGGAUCGUGCCAGAUCGGCAGCUGAAUUUGCAACUAUUCGCAACGGAAUGCGAGCGGAAUUUGGAGCGGUGCACAAUAGAAUUGAUGAGCUUGGUGUUGGACAUCGAGAAAUAAUAGGUGUUAUACAGGCCGAGAUCCAUAGAUUGCAGAGAAUUGUCGAAGAGAAUUUUGCGCGAGUUGAAAGAUCAGAGAAUGAUCAGAUGAGAGAGAGAUAAUUAUCGGUGAGUCUACUCAGUGCUUUGGUCACCGCAGCGCACCCGAGCUAGAUAUAUGUAUUACGAUUCACGUAUGCAUUUCAGUUCAACAGUAUUCUUUAGGUUUGAUUAUCCUUGCAAUUGUAAUGUCUUUAUUGUCAACUGUUAUGAUUUUCGCAUUGUAACUUUGAAUGUUUUGUUUUGAUGUUUUUUUUCUUCGUAAUUUUGUGAUAUUUCAUAUUAUGUUUUUGCUUUUGGCCUAAAAAUAAAAAAUUAAAAUGGAUACAGAGAACUGUUUUUCCACAGCCGAGACACAUAGCAGUCGUCCAGACCAAACUCUCUCAGACGUGUUACAAAGCGUGCUUGAAAUGCAGACCGUGAGUACCCAAAACGUGUGACAGAUUGCAGCAUUUGAUAAAUUUGAAUUCAGACCCUGUAGAAAUGUCUUUUGAUGAUGCACCAGCGCAUCAGACAUCUAAUUUGGAACGAUUAGAAUCAGCUAUUGAACGGUUUCCAAAUAUUAAUUUGUCAGAACGAUUACAGGAAUUAUUAAACACUCAUUAUGUAAACAUAAUACAAAAUGGCGGGGCAAUAAAUAAUAGGCGUGGAACGACAUUUAAUGCGAACAUUAAUGUUGACAAUCAGCAUCCAUUGUCUAGCAUCGCAGCUCUCCCUACAGAUACUGUCGGAGCAUCGGCAAACAAUACAACAUCAUCCGAUCAACCUGCAGGUACGUCGGCACUACCACAAUCAGACAUUGAUACGUUGAUUCGGGAGGGUGGUCUGAUUAACGACUACCGCGUUUUACUGUGACCUCGUUUCAAUAGCGUACAAUUGCGAAGACUCAUGAAUCUGAGGGAGAUUAACUCGACAGAUUUGGCAGCGUACCACAUUUUUUUUUACACAAUGCUUUUGACGAAAUAGUCUCACAUGCUCGAGAUAUUGUAAUCAAUUUAUCCCUUACAGCACCUAUGCUAAAAUCACCCGAUUCCGUUAAAAUCGAGGCUAACGUAGCCAUGAAUAGACGAGGAGGUCGCCCGCGUCGUAAACUUACAGAUUUAGCUCUGGAUCAGGUCAUCAAAUGAAAAAAAAAAUGUCGCUAUUUUGCCCGACAAAUGUUUCAAACAAUUUAUGUUUCUCUAUCUGACUAGUGCGUUUUCUCAACCCACAAUUACCCGAGAAUGAGUAAAAAAGAACCGCAGCGACCAUCCAUAACAACGCCUGCUUCUCAAUUCAAAAACAAUUUGGAUUCGACAACAUUCGGUCCUUUGAGUCUCUUCUAGGCAUUAAAAUUGUUUUUUUUUUUUUUACAAGCGCGGGGUCAUUAGAAACAUACAAAAAUCACGACAACCCACACUCUAAAACGGUAUGUCUCUAUUUGCAAAAUGAUCAUUACUAUAUGAUUCUGAAUUUAACUGCGUUCAUCGGUGCCACCUACGUGUGUGAAUUUUGCUACAAAGGCUACUCGAACCGUAGAAACCAUCAUUGCAAACACAUCUGCAACGUGUGUUUUGAUGGGGAAUGUUAUAAACAUCCUAAAAAAACAAUGCACUGCGACGAUUGUUUGCGGUUUUCUAAGUCGGGUUACUGCUAUGAAAUGCAUAAAAAAAAAAAAAAACACCCCCCGGUGCAGAAAAUCCUGCGUGUGACGUUAUAAAAUAUUGCAAACUUUGCGGUAGGCAAUAUGUAGUCACAGGUCAAAGCAAAAAUCACAAAUAUGCACCCCAUCGAUGCAUACAUUGUAAUGAAGAUUUGCCCAACCAGGGGUCACACAAUUGCUUCAUACAGCCCAUACCUAAGGACCCUUGCAAUAAAUACAUUUUUUAUGACUUUGAAACGCAAUAUGUAAAUGACCGACACGAAAUGAAUUUUGUCUGUGACAUCACUUUUAAAGGUGAGACAUUUGGGCUGAAGGCCCGGACUGCAUAGCGAAACUAAUCUCGCGGUUUAGACAACCCCGAUAUGAAGGAUACUGCUUCAUAGCUCAUUAUGCGUCCAGAUUUGACUCCUUUCUAAUUCUGGAGUAUUUUUGCAAAGCCGGGCUCACUCUCGAUGUUAUAAUGCAAGGAUGUAAAUGAAUCUUCAUGUACGACGAAGAAUUUGCACAACGAUACAUUGACAGCUACUCGUUCAUACCGAUGGCCCUGUCUAAGAUGCCAGCGGCACUCAAUUUGACCACGACAGAAAAAGGGCAUUUUCCGCAUCUUUUCAAUAGACCAGAAAAUGCAAAUUACCGGGGGAAGUACCCUGAUAAAAAGUUCUACAACUACGAAGACAUGUCCGAUAAAGAACAGGUAAAGUUUGAUGCGUGGUACAAUGGCGUUGAGGGUAAAAUUUUCAAUUUCAGGAAGGAGUUGUAUGACUACGGUGUGAAUGAUGUCGUGUUACUGCGUGAAGCAUGCAUAAAAUACCGAGAGGCGUUCAUUAUAUGUACCGGACUUGAUCCGUUCAACUCGACGACACUUGCUGGGUGUUGCAUGGCCAUCUUCAAAACCCAUUAUCUCGAGAAAGAUACGUUAGCUCUGACGCAUAAUAACGCUUACGUCUGACAGAGUAAGACUUACUUGAAUGCGUCGAUCGAAUGGCUCGAGUAUGUAAAAAAGACUCGAAACGACAUUCACCACGCUGUAAACGCGAGGUGUCAACCGGCCGUUACUUUUUAGAUGGGUUCUACGAGGAGGGAGAGUCGAGAUACAGGUUAGAGUUUAACGGUUGUGUCCAUCAUGGACAUUCGUGCCGCUUUGAACCCCAUCAGCGACAUCCUAUGUCAGGGGUACCUUAUGGGGAUCUCAAGAGACAGUUUGACGAAAAGGUCGAAAUUCUACAGAAUACCUACGGUUUGCAAAUCGAGGUUCUUUGGGAAUGCGAAUGGGAGGAAAUGAAGCGGUCCGAUCCUUCUGUGAAGGAAUUUAUGAGUACUUAUUCAGCGCCCGAGAGACUGAAACCGAGAGAGGCGCUGUUUGGGGGUUGUACUAACGCUUAUAAACUGUAUCACAAAACGGUUGAGGGCGAGAGAAUAAGUUACGUAGAUUUUACCAGCUUAUAUCCUUUCUGUCUGGCUAGGAAAAGCUAGCAAAUUAUUUUCAAAGAUUUUGAACCGAUCGAAAAUUAUUACGGUAUUAUCAAAGCUAGAGUUUAUCCGCCUCAUAAAUUACUACACCUGGUUCUCCCAUACAGAUGUGAUGGUAAACUUAUGUUUCCGUUAUGCUGUAAAUGAGCGCACGCUCAAAACCAGACAACGGACUGUACCCAAACGGAUGACGAGAGGGCUCUCACGGGGUGUUGGGUCAGUAUUGAACUUUUGAAAGCGAUCGAGAAUGGUUACAUUAUUGCUACGAUCGAUGAAGUUUGGCAUUUUCCGCAACGGUCAGACACAUUAUUUUGCGAUUACGUAAAGACAUUUUUAUGUCUGAAGCAACAAGCGUCCGGUUACCCGUCAAACGUCGUCACUGAUGCUGACAAAGAGUCUUAUAUACGCGAAUAUUAUGAAAAAGAGGGUAUUCGUCUUGACCCUGAAAAGAUCAGUCACAACCCCGCACAGAGGGCUAUCAAUAAACUAUUGCUGAAUAGCUUAUGGGGAAGGUUCUCUAUGAGGGAAUCGUUAGCUCAUACUGAGCUUGUGAACGACCCUGAAGAUUUCACCAGAAUUGUUUUUGGCGAAACCGACACUCUGACUUAUUUUACUUUUGUCUCGGACAAUGUGGCUCUUGUCCAACAUCGUCCCCCAAAAGGGGAAGUUCGACAGACUCGUGACAUUAACGUGUUUGUAGGAGCUUUUACAACGGCUCAUGCCCGGCUUGAGUUGUACGAACUCAUGGAUAAACUCGGCGACCGCUUGUUAUACUCCGACACUGACAGCGUUAUAUUUGUCUCUAGGGAGGGGGACUGGGACCCCCCUCUGGGAGAUCAUUUGGGGUAGCUGACGAAUGAAAUAGACGACAGAGAUUAUAUUACAGAAUUUUGCUCUAGCGGUCCGAAAUCUUACGUAUAUCGCACGACCAAAGGUAAAGUGUGCAUGAAGGCUAAGGGUAUAACGUUAAGCGCAAAAAAUUCCCAAGCUAUUCAUUUAAAGAGUCUUAUUGGUCUGGUUAACAGCUAUUUGACAUCGCAUGACAGUUCGCAAUGCAUCCUGGCCCACACUGAAAAACAUUGUGAGAAAUAAAAACCUGUUGAACGAAGCACCAGGUCGAAAAGGUUUUCACUCAAUUUGUACAUCAUCGUAAUCUCAGCGCUAUUUAUAUAGUGCAAAAUGUAUUUGCCCAAGGCAAAUCCAGUAGAACCAUCAGCUUAAACACAAAUUAUAUGAUUUUGUUUAAAAACCCACAGGAUGCCAAUUAAGUAGCGGUACUAGGACAUCAAAUGUAUCCUGGAAACACAAAAUACUUUAUGGAGUGCUAUCAAGAUGCAACCAGUCGACCUUACGGUUAUUUAAUGAUAGACUAUAAAGCAAAAACUCCUGAGCAAUUCUGUCUCAGAACGGGAUUGUUUUCCAACCAUCAAGUGGUUUAUCUCCAGAAAAAACGAAGAACGUGAUCAGUCGUCAUGUCUGCAAGACUUUGUAAACAUCUACCAUUGUUGAAACUGAUACAUAAAGCAACUCAUAAACAACGACGCCUUAUUUUGCAAUCGGCGUCCGACAAACUCAUUUUAACAUUGUGCGAAGUGGCUCUUAACAUGCUCUAUGGUACGAUUCCUAUCAAUCGACAGCUGUACCAAAAACUGACAAGGAGAAAAAAAAAAAAAAUUGGUAUAUCUGCCAAGAAGCGAGUCUUCAUUCAGACUGGAGGAUUUCUUUUACUGCUUCUUAGCGUAGCAGUACCCUUUAUUUCCAGCUUAAUAUCAUCUAGAUGCGGUUGAUGAUGGAGUAUGCCGAGAAAAUGUAUUUAGUACCGCAACAUCAACUGGAAAAGCUGAAAAAUGAGAAUGUUCGCAAAAAUAUUCAACAGGUUGUAGAGAACGAUCUGGAUACAUCCAUAAGAAAAAUCUUACUCCGGUCUGAUUUAAAUCAGUACGAAAAAGCCAAACUCUACAAGAACAUCCUGAGCAGGUUUUUGACGAUCGUUAAACAAGGCGAUUGGGAGAGUAACGUUUUAACGUUGUCGCUACCCAUUUCUGAACCCGACCAUAAAGACGAACAACCCCACACUGGUGUUGAAGACGACGGAGGUGUGGAUGACGUUGUGAGUGAAGUUCUGAAGAAUGUACUGUCAAGAAGUGUGAAAAACGGCUGAUACAUAUUAGACAAAAUGUCUAAAGCUAAAGGACUCAGUGCAUGGAAUGAGUCGGGGGAGUUUGUAUUCAGGGGAAAAGCCAUGCCUGGGUCGCACAUGGUCAAUUUGAUUUAAAAAAAUGUCACAGCACCACAAAAGGAGCACGAUGACAGAAAACCCCCAGGAUGGUCGGAGUUUAUACAUGCCUUUGCAGAGUUAAACAUUCCGUUUUCUACCGUGCCGAAUCAUAAUGUUAGAUGGGCAAUUAAUUCUUUAAAGAGACCCGAUACUGCUACAGCGGAAUAUGAAAGUCCUUCUGAUAUUGUUACAGCAAAACGUGAAAGGAUUUCUAAAAAACCAAAAAGAAAAAAGCACGUAGGUCAACUGCUUCAGAAGAUCCCAUGUUCAAAUCGCUGUCUAUCGAUCGAAGUCAAUGGUUAGAAUUUUAAAAUGUUUUGUUUGUUAAUAUUUGAUUAAUGAAAUGUGUAUAUGUUCUGUCUGCUUAAAAUUUGAAAUAAAAACACAAUAAAAAGA